GCGGGUAUAGCUCAGUGGUAGAGCACACGCUUAGCAUGCAUGAGGUCUUGGGUUCAAUCCUCAGUACCUCCA
This 72-nucleotide transfer RNA is filed under the name Camelus bactrianus (Bactrian camel). It matches the Rfam family "tRNA". From Rfam's summary of the family: Transfer RNA (tRNA) molecules are approximately 80 nucleotides in length. Their secondary structure includes four short double-helical elements and three loops (D, anti-codon, and T loops). The record is from Rfam by way of RNAcentral. Lineage: Eukaryota; Metazoa; Chordata; Mammalia; Artiodactyla; Camelidae. RNAcentral also lists the same sequence under 1 other name.